CUCCUCUCCCUCCCCUCCUCCUCUCAGAUGGAGAGAGAGUUUGCUCUAGCACCUCUAUAGACACAGUUCUCAAUCAGGACUUCCAGAUCCUCAUCAACAGCACCAUCUACAGGAUACACUCCCCGGGCAGAGAGUCUCCAGAACAUUCCACCAGUAUAGAUGACAUGAAGACAGUAGUCCACAUGCUCCAGUCAGCUCUCAACCUGCCAGAACACCAACUACUGAGACAGAUUCAGCUUCUCCGCAGACUGGAUACACUGAAGCAGGAGCUGGGACCUCUGGAGGAGGUGCGGGCCCAAGUGGCUGGGAGGGCGGAGUCUCAGUCGAUGCGUGUAGAGUGGGGGUGCUUGCCUUUCUUCUCUACAGGGAAGCUUUCUGGGAUACCUGACUUGGUUUGUGUUUGCCUGGGACGUGAUGGAACCAGUCACCUACUUCAUCACCUACGCUACCAGCAUGGGCUUCCUGGGUUACUACAUACUCACUAAACAGGCAAGACAGACAGACAGACGCAGAGACAGACAGACAGACGCAGAGACAGACAG
Molecule: long non-coding RNA, 542 nt
Organism: Oncorhynchus tshawytscha (Chinook salmon)
Lineage: Eukaryota; Metazoa; Chordata; Actinopteri; Salmoniformes; Salmonidae
Exons: 4
Source: RefSeq, a predicted model, not a curated record